This 48-nucleotide non-coding RNA is filed under the name Trichobilharzia regenti. Lineage: Eukaryota; Metazoa; Platyhelminthes; Trematoda; Strigeidida; Schistosomatidae. The record is from RNAcentral.
AUCUACCUGAUGAGUCCCAAAUAGAACGAAGUGCGCGUUAACCUGGAU